This 217-nucleotide ribosomal RNA is filed under the name uncultured bacterium. RNAcentral's name for it is "partial 16S ribosomal RNA". It matches the Rfam family "Bacterial small subunit ribosomal RNA", at positions 122 to 334 of the family's 1533-position model. The record is from RNAcentral.
UAACCUGCCUGGUAGCGGGGGGUAACUAUUGGAAACGAUAGCUAAUACCGCAUAACAGUAGAUAUCGCAUGAUAGCUGCUUAAAAGGUGCAAUUGCACCACUACCAGAUGGACCUGCGUUGUAUUAGCUAGUUGGUGAGGUAACGGCUCACCAAGGCCACGAUACAUAGCCGACCUGAGAGGGUGAUCGGCCACACUGGGACUGAGACACGGCCCAG